AAGGAUUUAAGUUAAAUUAAAACUCGGAACCUUCAAAGUUCCAAAUAAAGAACCUCUUUAAGCCUUA
RNAcentral lists this transfer RNA (67 nucleotides) under Cheirotonus jansoni. Its description in RNAcentral is "tRNA-Trp". Lineage: Eukaryota; Metazoa; Arthropoda; Insecta; Coleoptera; Scarabaeidae. The record is from RNAcentral.